This 397-nucleotide ribosomal RNA is filed under the name uncultured bacterium. RNAcentral describes it as "partial 16S ribosomal RNA". It matches the Rfam family "Bacterial small subunit ribosomal RNA", at positions 523 to 918 of the family's 1533-position model. The record is from RNAcentral.
AUACGUAGGUGACAAGCGUUAUCCGGAUUUACUGGGCGUAAAGGGCGUGUAGGCGGUCUUGCAAGUCAGAAGUGAAAUUCCUGAGCUCAACUCGGGCGCUGCUUCUGAAACUGCAGGACUUGAGUGCUGGAGGGGAUAGCGGAAUUCCUAGUGGAGCGGUAAAAUGCGCAGAUACUAGGAAGAACACCGGUGGCGAAGGCGACUAUGUGGGCAGUAACUGACACUGAGGCGCAAAAGCGUGCGGAGCAAACAGGAUUAGCUACCCUGGUAGUCCACGCGGUAAACGAUGAAUACUAGGUGUAGGGGGUAUCGACUCCCUCUGUGCCUCAGUUAACACAAUAAGUAUUCCGCCUGGGGAGUACGGCCGCAAGGUUGAAACUCAAAUGAAUUGACGGGG